Monodelphis domestica (gray short-tailed opossum) is the source of this 1385-nucleotide long non-coding RNA. RefSeq lists it as uncharacterized. Lineage: Eukaryota; Metazoa; Chordata; Mammalia; Didelphimorphia; Didelphidae. The record is from RefSeq and is a predicted model, not a curated record.
UCUUUUGUUUUUUCACAAGAGCAGGUUGUAAUCUUCCCUCCCUCCCUCCCUCCAGACCCGGGAACUGUUUUCGUGGUGGAAAACAAAUGCUUGACAUGUUCUAGCAGUCAAGGUUAAUUUCCAGGCAGUGCGGAUGUUUACUGCCUCUUAAGGGAGCCUCUGGCUGCUUUGCAUUCCACUUGUUUCUGGAGCUGAAGAAACACUGCUUAAAAGGAUUAAUUUGCUGGGCACUCCAGAGAAUUUGGAAGCAGAUGGAAGAAACCAACAAGAAGGUUCAACGGCUGAGAUGGCGACGCAGCAAAGCACUGUGGAGUGCUUAGGGCGUGUUGGAGCACAAAAGACAACACAGCCAUCCAAUGCAGCUGAGGAAAUCUCCAGGUGUAAUGACUUUUCGUGCCACUGGACCCAGGCUUCCAACGCCAAGAGAGUGGGACUGUCUCUGUGCAUCGACUUUUCCACUUAAAUCUCCUUCACGCACAAGUGUCUUUGUGCACACUCAUCUAUCAUAGAUGAAAAUGCACAAAGAUAAUCCUCAUCCUCGGUUACCGAGAGACUACUACUAGACUAUACUUUAUUAUCCCACUACCUUCCUCACAGAGUUGUAAGGUUCAAAUAAGAAAAUGUGUGAAAAGUGAAACUCAAAAUAUUAUAUAAAUGUCAACUGUUCUUAUUAUCAUGGUGACAAUGGAGUUGAUAUAUAAUCACUUAUUUGCUUUAGUUCCUUGUAACAAAAAUCUUAUCUGUUUUCUAUUUGCUUCUUACUGGAGUCUUUUUUAAAUUGUCUGUAGACCUAAUAGAGAAAGGGAAAACAAAAUCAAUUGUAUAUCUAUCUCUAUAUACAUAUAAAUAGAUGCAUAUUUAUAUAUACACCAUUCCUCUUUUGGGGCUAUAAGUAGUGCAAAAUAUCUUUAAAAUAAUAAAAAUUACAACUUGCCUGUCCCUUUAACUCCAUAUAGCCAUGCUUUACUUCAAGAUAAUAAACUAUGGAGAAUAGGAAACUAGGUAAUAGAUAGCAAGUACCAGGAAGAUGUUUCUCUUAAAAAUAACCAAUUCCUUCUAGAGUAUCAGCAAAGAUAGCUUUGCCUAUGAAACUUGAGAACUUUUUCAAAGAAAUUUGGUUACAAAUCAUGAGUCCUUGGAAUUGGGACCCACAGACUUGCUAGAAUUACGUCAUGUAUAACUUUGGUGACUUUUUAAGGUUUUAUUGCUCUGUAAAAAAUUAUGUCUGGGAGGAAAAAUCAUUCCUUUAUUGAAUUCAAUAAGUAUGUAUUUAGUGCCUACUAAGUGUUAGAUUGUUUUAUGUGAAUAAUUCAAAUAGUUCUUUCCUUUAAGGAACCUAUAUUCAAUGUCUCCUUAUUAAAAACAUUAAAAAAAAUGAAAGCCAA